This 1913-nucleotide long non-coding RNA is filed under the name Podarcis lilfordi (Lilford's wall lizard). Lineage: Eukaryota; Metazoa; Chordata; Lepidosauria; Squamata; Lacertidae. The record is from RNAcentral.
CCUUUAUCCCUCGCAGUUGCAGAGGUGGCCUUCCCAUCAGCUAAGCCGAGGUUCUUAAACAACAGAUUCCGAACACUGUUAAGUCCGCAGUCCUGGUGUGCUCCCAGGGUCCCAGAGCAAACUGAAUAAUUGCUCUUCUGUCAUCAGCACCAAGUGGGUUUGCAAUGGACUUUCUUCCACACUUGGGUGGGAUAUUGUGCUUUUACUGGGAGUAUAUCCCACUGUGUCGAGUCCACAAUAGCAGGCACGGCACAGCCGUCCUUUAGGUAUCACUUUCCUAACCCACCUUUCUUCACAGGAGCUGCACCUUCCCACUGCAUCUUCAACAACAAUCCUGUGAGGUAGGUUAGGCCAAGAGAUGACAACUGGCCCAAGGUCACCCAGGGAGCUUCAUGGCCGAGUGGUGGUCUCCCAGGUCUCAGUCCGAGGAGUGAGGAAUUGGAUCUGGCUGGCAGACUCAAUCAGGGCCGGCCCACCCAUGAGUCAAGGUGAGGUGGUUGCCUUGGGCGGCAGGAGCCACAGGGACAGCAGAUCUGGCUUCCAAGGAAUGAACUGCCCACUGCUGCAGUAGCAGCAACAGCUGUGGCAAAUUCCUUGGAGCCUGGAUCUUCCUUUUCCUUGGAAGCCCCCACAAUGCUGACCCUACAGCGAACUCUUGGGAAAGAGAAGGUGCUGGUGGUUUCCUCCCACCCCUAGGGAGCAAAUGGCAGGAACUGCCCUCUAGGUACUCCUGGGGUCUGCACCCACCUGGUGUGAAUCAGAGCAGCGCAGGCCCUUUUUCUUCCCACAAUGGCCUUGGAUUCCCACUUCAAACUUCAGGGAAGGGUGAUUUACUUCCCACUUUGUUCCCAAUGUAGAUCUUCACUUAUGCCUUCUUCCCAGUCCAGGAAAGGGAGUCACUAUUUUGUGGUUUGCCUCAGGUGGCCAAAUGUCUUGGGCCAGCCCUGGACCAGAUCCUGAUCUCCACACACCUCCGCAGGGCCCUCUUUGGCAUCUGGGUGGGGCCACCCAGCUGCCAAUCACCUGAUGUCACAAUGGCAUCAGUUGGCCUGUUUCGUCCCCAUGUGCUCUGAAAUAAAAUUGGGCAGGCACUACUUCCUAGCACCAAAUUUCUACAGGUUAUCAGCCCUGGGAGAAGUAUUGCGUGCAGCGCUAUCCAGGCAUUGAGAAUGAGCUGCCGGUGGACUCCUGGGAAGUCCUGUGGGCAAUGCUUGGGAAAAUGCUGCACAAAGUGCUUUGCAGGCACCUCCCACCCGCUGAUCGUCAGUGCCUGCAAAGCGUCUUUCAUCCAAAACCCCGCCUUUACCUGUCCCACCUUUGAUGUCAUAUAUUCACCCUAAGGGACACAGGUGGCGCUGUGGGUUAAACCACAGAGUCUAGGACUUGCCGAUCAGAAGGUCGGCGGUUCGAAUCCCCGCAAUGGGGUGAGCUCCCGUUGUUUGGUCCUUGCUCCUGCCAACCUAGCAGUUCGAAAGCACAUCAAGUGCAAGUAGAUAAAUAGGUACCGCUCCGACGGGGGGGUAAACGGCGUUUCCGUGCGCUGCUCUGGUUCGCCAGAAGCGGCUUAGUCAUGCUGGCCACAUGACCCGGAAGCUGUACACUGGCUCCCUCGGCCAAAAAAGUGAGAUGAGUGCCGCAACCCCAGAGUCAUCCACAACUGGACCUAAUGGUCAGGUAUCCCUUUACCUUUACCUAUUCACCCUAAUGACCUCAUUGGCCAACAGGGGAGUCCUAACGGGCUUAAUUUGACUCACAGGCAAAAGAUUCUCUCCUGCUCUGUCCUAAUGGAACACUCUAACCACUACCCUGUAUGUGGGGAAAGAUACCAUUUGCCCCCUUUUAAAAUAAAACAUUUCCCCCCCUCCAAUUCUUUUUCUUUAAGAAUCAAUUAUUUCACCCCACCCUGCCCCAAC